This is a long non-coding RNA of Vicia villosa (hairy vetch), 1859 nucleotides long. RefSeq lists it as uncharacterized. The record is from RefSeq and is a predicted model, not a curated record. NCBI's taxonomy places the organism in Eukaryota, Viridiplantae, Streptophyta, Magnoliopsida, Fabales, Fabaceae. The transcript has 4 exons.
AAGCCAUUUCUCAGAUCAAAUUGAUAAGGCACUUAAUUAUGAUCAAAAUUGUAUCCGUAUAUGCAUCUUCGUAUGCAUAAAAGGUACGUCCGAAUAUGCAUCUCCAUAAAUACUAUUUAAUAAACAAUUAGUGGAUGGUUUGGAGAUGUAUAUUCAGACACUUUUGUUUCAUACCCUCGCGUAUAGACCCUUUCCUUUCCUCCUUCUUCAUUUUCUAAAAACUUCUCAAAACAAAAUAUUCGAGCCCUCAAGCAUUCAAACUUCUCAUCCAUUUAUUCAAGUUUCUACCAUUUGAGCUUUUUCUCCUCCUUUCCAACAACUCAUACAUUCAAGCUUCUAUUUCUUAUGAAUUUGAUUCGGUACAUUAUAUAGCAGUGUAAACAAAAUUGGUAGCCUACAACAACAACAUGCAUUGACAUAUUUUUGGAGGGUUAGGGAAGCAAUGACGUUUCUGCCAUAGUUGAGAAUCACAACUUUCUUCGGAGAUGCAUCUUUUAACACAUGUGCAAUGGUUGGAAAUAACACUAGUAGAAUUACGCUCGGUCAUGUGUCCCAAACCGCGUCGAUACAAUGUGAAAGGCUGCAGUCAGGACCACGAGGUCACAAGUUGAUGAUAACUCGUUGGAUGGUUUGCAACACCGAGGUUCUAAACCAUUUGAUUAUACUUCUCAUAGCUGCCUCUCUCAGGCAUCUAAUUCACAGGGCCACGAGUCCUCAGAUGAUGCAGCACAACAUGAAGUCCCCAAAACCCCUGAAGCCUAGGAGAAAGCCAUUGUCGAUGGCCCUUUAUAGAGUCAUACAGGAGGCCCAUUUGUCACUUCUUUAUUUCAUGUCUAUGCAGAAUAUGCUUCUAGGAAUGAUUGGAAAUUAGAGGAGCGUACGAGUUUAAAAUCGGUAAACCAUGACAUGGAGAUACUAGAGUUGAAACAACACACUGUUGAUUGGGUUGUUGAUGUUAUCCACUAUUCAGAUCUUGUCGAUUUAUGUUCUGCUGCAUACAUGACCAUAAACCACGAUAUACAUACGAAUUUUUCAGAGAGGUGGCAUUCAAAGACGUCAUUUUUCCACCUGCCUAUAGAUAGGAUGACCAUCACCUUGGAUGACAUCUUCUUAUAAGGAUAUGAUUAUUAGGCAACGGAAAGAUCGAUCGAGAGGAGGCCGUUGAAAUGAUGGUCACCCAUUUAGCGGUUGACCCAGCUAAGGCCUCAAAGGAGGCAACUGACACACGAGGUACUCAUGCAAGAUUUAGUUUUUUGGAAAAGCUUUAUAAAGAAUAUUUGUAGUGGCCCAUGGAUGUCGAAGGUGAUGAUGUGUAGGUUGAGUACCACCGGCAGUGUGCAUUGAGGUAUUACCUCUUGUUCCUGGUUGGCAUGUUCAUGUUUGUGGAAAAAAGUGCAACAUAUAUCUAAGUGAUCUACCUUAAGUACUUUAUCGACUUAACAACGAUUUAUGAGUACAAUUAGGGGGCGCCUAUUUGGUAUACAUGUACUCAAAACUAGGCGAUGGUUGUUUGUGAAAGACAAAGCAGAUGACAGGGAGUUGCACGUUACUUACGAUAAUUUACGGUUACUAAUAUUUUCAUAAUUCGUUUGUUACACCUAUUAUUAAUAUUGUAUAUGAACUAUUUUCAGGGAUGAAUCAUCUCCCAUCUCCCUCGUAUCACCGGGUGGAAAAUUUUGUUUUCCCACAAUGAGGAUUGACCACAUGCUGCUUCAUUUACCCCGUACAAGGGAAAUAAUACAGUCGAGCCAUUCAAAGUGUAUCUUGAUUAUCAUGUGCCAAAUGAUGUUUUCUUCUGCUCAUACAAGGGUCACCGCGAGACACGUUUGUUGGAAUUCAUCGCCUGAUACUCCAGAUGG